GACGAACGCUGGCGGCGUGCCUAACACAUGCAAGUCGAGCGGGGUCCAUCCAGUGGCAACACUGGGGAAGACCUAGCGGCGAACGGGUGAGUAACACGUGAGGAACCUGCCCCGAAGACCGGGAUAACCCGAGGAAACUCAAGCUAAUACCGGAUACCCCCACGAGAUCGCAUGGUCUUGUGAGGAAAUGUCUUUUCGCUUCGGGAGGGCCUCGCGGCCUAUCAGCUAGUUGGCGGGUAACGGCCCACCAAGGCAUCGACGGGUAGCUGGUCUGAGAGGACGAUCAGCCACACUGGGACUGAGACACGGCCCAGACUCCUACGGGAGGCAGCAGUGGGGAAUCUUGCGCAAUGGGCGAAAGCCUGACGCAGCAACGCCGCGUGGGGGACGAAGGCUCUCGGGUUGUAAACCCCUUUCAGGAGGGACGAAAUUGACGGUACCUCCAGAAGAAGCCCCGGCCAACUACGUGCCAGCAGCCGCGGUAAU
RNAcentral lists this ribosomal RNA (486 nucleotides) under uncultured bacterium. RNAcentral describes it as "bacterial SSU rRNA". It matches the Rfam family "Bacterial small subunit ribosomal RNA", at positions 28 to 524 of the family's 1533-position model. The record is from RNAcentral.